Molecule: ribosomal RNA, 497 nt
Filed under: uncultured bacterium
Lineage: Bacteria
Description: partial 16S ribosomal RNA
Rfam family: Bacterial small subunit ribosomal RNA
Source: RNAcentral
GAUGAACGCUGGCGGCGUGCCUAAUACAUGCAAGUCGAGCGAAUAGACGAGGAGCUUGCUCCUCUGACGUUAGCGGCGGACGGGUGAGUAACACGUGGAUAACCUACCUAUAAGACUGGGAUAACUUCGGGAAACCGGAGCUAAUACCGGAUAAUAUAUUGAACCGCAUGGUUCAAUAGUGAAAGACGGUUUUGCUGUCACUUAUAGAUGGAUCCGCGCCGCAUUAGCUAGUUGGUAAGGUAACGGCUUACCAAGGCAACGAUGCGUAGCCGACCUGAGAGGGUGAUCCGCCACACUGGAACUGAGACACGGUCCAGACUCCUACGGGAGGCAGCAGUAGGGAAUCUUCCGCAAUGGGCGAAAGCCUGACGGAGCAACGCCGCGUGAGUGAUGAAGGUCUUCGGAUCGUAAAACUCUGUUAUUAGGGAAGAACAAAUGUGUAAGUAACUAUGCACGUCUUGACGGUACCUAAUCAGAAAGCCACGGCUAACUACGUG